CCUACGGGGUGCAGCAGUGGGGAAUAUUGCACAAUGGGGGAAACCCUGAUGCAGCGACGCCGCGUGAGCGAUGAAGUAUUUCGGUAUGUAAAGCUCUAUCAGCAGGGAAGAAGAUGACGGUACCUGACUAAGAAGCCCCGGCUAACUACGUGCCAGCAGCCGCGGUAAUACGUAGGGGGCAAGCGUUAUCCGGAUUUACUGGGUGGAAAGGGAGCGUAGACGGCGAUGCAAGCCAGAUGUGAAAGCCCGGGGCUCAACCCCGGGACUGCAUUUGGAACUGUGUGGCUGGAGUGUCGGAGAGGCAGGCGGAAUUCCUAGUGUAGCGGUGAAAUGCGUAGAUAUUCGGAGGAACACCGGUGGCGAAGGCGGCCAACUGGGCUUUAACUGACGCUGAGGCUCGAAAGUGUGGGGAGCAAACAGGAUUAGAUACCCUGGUAGUC
This 440-nucleotide ribosomal RNA is filed under the name uncultured bacterium. Its description in RNAcentral is "partial 16S ribosomal RNA". It matches the Rfam family "Bacterial small subunit ribosomal RNA", at positions 338 to 795 of the family's 1533-position model. The record is from RNAcentral.